Molecule: long non-coding RNA, 1329 nt
Organism: Acanthopagrus latus (yellowfin seabream)
Lineage: Eukaryota; Metazoa; Chordata; Actinopteri; Spariformes; Sparidae
Exons: 4
Source: RefSeq, a predicted model, not a curated record
CUCCCACAAACGUCUGCCCUUCCUCUCUUUGUUCCUCUUAUCUGGAUCAAACUCGCAGCUGCCUUGAGGUCUGCUCCAAGGCUACCGUCGAGAUGCCCUUGACCCCCCAGCUGCUCGGCUGGAGCUGCUCAGCAGCCGGCAGUCGGAGGCUGUGGUUGUACCGAGCAGCUCCCAGGAGUGAAUGCACGUAAAUGCACAACUGUCAGGUCCAUUUGUAGGAAUGCAGACCUCCACUCCUGGCACUUUUCUUCCUCCGCAUUGUACCUGUGGGAUAUGAAUAAGUCAUUAGAGGAAAAGUCUUUAUUUCACAAAGCAGCUGAAGGUAAAAGUGGAAGGAGAAGGAAAAUGAUGACCUAUUUCAGCGGCUGACCUCAAACAAAGUGCUGCCGAGAGUGUUGGGACUCGAUUUGAGAGCCGUGUUUGUGGGCAGCACAGUGACCUGACCGACGAGAUUAAAAAGCAAAUCACAUCCAAACACCGGGAAAUAUUCCAUUUAUUUGGAUUGCACUGUGGUCCAAACCUCUGAUUCUAUUUAAUAUCACUUUUGUAAUGUGUUAUCAGUAGUGAUGGUAUGAGCAGCAGAGGUAGUUUUGCUCUCUUUCCUGUGUAGUCAGUUUUCGAACAGAGAUGUUUGGCGGAGGAAGUAUGCUGAUCUUUUUUCAGUCAAGUAGAAGUUUCAAUACCAAACACUUCAACAUGUUUCCUGUUUCCCCUCGGUUCAGAUUUGAGUGGGUAUGUCUGUUUAAAACAUGCUGUGUGUGACGCAUCACAUUGCCUUGUUUAAUUAUCACCACAGUCUUAGAUGUGAGUCAUACCAAUUUUGAACCGCCAGUGGGAAGAAUGAACAUUUAAGAGUCUGCUCUUGAUUGAAAACUCUCUGUUUCUUCUCUGUUGUUUCUCGUCUGGGCGUAUCUGCUCAACCUCGAAUCACAAUGCUUACCACGAUACACGUAAAACAUUAAUAUGUGAACUUCGCGAUCAGAUUUGCUCAUUUAUGUUUUCGUGAAUGAAGCCCAAUAAGUUCCAACAGGACCCUAAAAGAGCUCCUGCCAAAAGCCACUUCCACACAAUCAAGUGAAUAUCAGCUCCAUUAGCUUCAUUGUAUCCCAGCUGCUGGACGAUCUAAAGCCACGUAUUGACUCGGUUGUUGAGAGAGUUGUUGUCAUGUUUGUCAUACAGUAUUGGAUGCUGUGAGACCAACUUGAUAAGGUUUUGACAUCAGCUGAAACAAAGGAUUUCAUUGGUCAAACGUGUACAUCUGCAGGGGUAAAUUCUGCUGAAUAUUUUUUGCUUUGCUUUUUUAAUAAACUAACAUGGACAUUUUUGGAA